Molecule: small nuclear RNA, 166 nt
Filed under: Dasypus novemcinctus (nine-banded armadillo)
Lineage: Eukaryota; Metazoa; Chordata; Mammalia; Cingulata; Dasypodidae
Description: U1 spliceosomal RNA (ENSDNOG00000028369.1)
Rfam family: U1 spliceosomal RNA
About the family: U1 is a small nuclear RNA (snRNA) component of the spliceosome (involved in pre-mRNA splicing).
Source: RNAcentral
AUAGUUACCUGGCAGGGGAAAUUCCAUGAUCAGGAAGGUGGUUUUCCCAGGGCGAGGCUUAUCCAUUGCACUCUGGAUGUGCUGACCCCCUGUGGUUUUCCCAAAUGCAGGAAACUCAGACUGUAUAAUUUGUGGUAGUGGAGGACUGUGUUCUUGCUCUUCUGUU